Molecule: transfer RNA, 75 nt
Filed under: Chlorosarcinopsis eremi
Lineage: Eukaryota; Viridiplantae; Chlorophyta; Chlorophyceae; Chlorosarcinales; Chlorosarcinaceae
Description: tRNA-Ala
Rfam family: tRNA
About the family: Transfer RNA (tRNA) molecules are approximately 80 nucleotides in length.
Source: RNAcentral
GGGAACGUAGCUCAGUUGGUAGAGCACCGCCUUUGCACGGCGGGGGUCGCGGGUUCGAAGCCUGUCGUUUCCACC